RNAcentral lists this ribosomal RNA (1426 nucleotides) under Lamellibrachia satsuma. Its description in RNAcentral is "bacterial LSU rRNA". It matches the Rfam family "Bacterial large subunit ribosomal RNA", at positions 1522 to 2925 of the family's 2925-position model. The record is from RNAcentral. Lineage: Eukaryota; Metazoa; Annelida; Polychaeta; Sabellida; Siboglinidae.
GGGAGUCAGUUUAGGUAAAUCCGGACUGGCAAUUCUGAGACGUGAUGACGAGUCUCUUUUGAGACGAAGUGAUUGAUGCCAUACUCCCAGGAAAAACCUCUAAGCUUCAGGUAAUAAGUAACCGUACCCCAAACCGACACAGGUGGGUGGGAUGAAAAUUCUAAGGCGCUUGAGAGAACUCUGGUGAAGGAACUAGGCAAAAUUGUACCGUAACUUCGGGAGAAGGUACGCCCCUGGUAUGUGAAGAGACUUGCUCUCGGAGCAGAAGGGGGUUGCAAUAAAAUGGUGGCUGCAACUGUUUAUUAAAAACAUAGCACUCUGCAAACUCGAAAGAGGAAGUAUAGGGUGUGACGCCUGCCCGGUGCCGGAAGGUUAAUUGAUGGGGUUAGUCUUCGGACGAAGCUCUUGAUCGAAGCCCCGGUAAACGGCGGCCGUAACAAUAACGGUCCUAAGGUAGCGAAAUUCCUUGUCGGGUAAGUUCCGACCUGCACGAAUGGCGUAAUGAUGGCCACACUGUCUCCACCAGAGACUCAGUGAAAUUGAAAUCGCUGUUAAGAUGCAGCGUACCCGCGGCUAGACGGAAAGACCCCGUGAACCUUUACUACAGCUUUGCACUGGACUUUGAACCUAUUUGUGUAGGAUAGGUGGGAGGCUUCGAAACCGAGACGCUAGUUUCGGUGGAGCCAACCUUGAAAUACCACCCUGGUAUGUUUGAAGUUCUAACCUAGACCCGUUAUCCGGGUUGGGGACAGUGUAUGGUGGGUAGUUUGACUGGGGCGGUCUCCUCCCAAAGAGUAACGGAGGAGCACGAAGGUACCCUCAGCGCGGUCGGACAUCGCGCAAUGAGUGCAAAGGCAUAAGGGUGCUUGACUGUGAGACAGACAAGUCGAGCAGGUACGAAAGUAGGUCUUAGUGAUCCGGUGGUUCUGUAUGGAAGGGCCAUCGCUCAACGGAUAAAAGGUACUCCGGGGAUAACAGGCUGAUACCGCCCAAGAGUUCAUAUCGACGGCGGUGUUUGGCACCUCGAUGUCGGCUCAUCACAUCCUGGGGCUGAAGUCGGUCCCAAGGGUAUGGCUGUUCGCCAUUUAAAGUGGUACGCGAGCUGGGUUUAGAACGUCGUGAGACAGUUCGGUCCCUAUCUGCCGUGGGCGUUCGAGAUUUGAGGGAAGCUGCUCCUAGUACGAGAGGACCGGAGUGGACGUACCCCUGGUGUUCCGGUUGUCACGCCAGUGGCAUUGCCGGGUAGCUACGUACGGACAGGAUAACCGCUGAAAGCAUCUAAGCGGGAAGCCCCUCCCAAGAUAAGAUCUCGCUGGAACUUUAAGUUCCCUGUAGGUCCGUUAAAGACUAUGACGUUGAUAGGCUGGGUGUAGAAGCACAGUAAUGUGUGAAGCUAACCAGUACUAAUUGACCGUGAGGCUUGACC